CGCCCUUCCUGCCAAACAGGUGUUGGGGGUGCAGCACAGCCAGAGCUUUAGGUGGUCUCUGCUCAGAUUUUGGUAUGGAGCAGCCAGUGUGCAAGGAAGGAAUUGCCUGUGUCUGUGCCAAUGUGCAUUGCUCUGUGGAAGAGCUCCUAUAGGAUCAGCUCCCUCCCUGCUCCAGACAAGACAGUAACUGGGAAAGAUGGCAGGAAGGGUUUGGUCACACAGGCAAGGUCCAUGGCUUGAGAAGUGUUGGAGAUUUGUGUUCCAGGUAACAUCAGACUACGAGCAGCGAAUUACUUGUGAAGGGUACACGUGAAAGGAGGAGAAUGACCUGGCUGCUGCAAGCCUUUGUUUGAACUGCAGCUGUGUGACCUGCUGAUGCAUUGGAUCAGAAGCCAAUGCCCUGUUUGUGCUGGCUGCUGUACAGUGGAGGUAGACACAAGGUUCUCCCUGGCCUCAGAGACCUGCAGUAUAGCAACCAGAGGAGAGUGUUACCUGAAGCUGUUCCUGUAUUAUACAGCUCCUUCCUAUUGGUCUCUUUCUUUUUACACUUUUAUAACAAGCUUUUUUGUCUUCCUUUCACAU
Long non-coding RNA from Pogoniulus pusillus (Red-fronted tinkerbird), 582 nucleotides. RefSeq lists it as uncharacterized. Lineage: Eukaryota; Metazoa; Chordata; Aves; Piciformes; Lybiidae. The record is from RefSeq and is a predicted model, not a curated record. The transcript has 4 exons.